AGUGCGCGUUAACGGAUUGUUAA
Molecule: non-coding RNA, 23 nt
Filed under: Arabidopsis thaliana (thale cress)
Lineage: Eukaryota; Viridiplantae; Streptophyta; Magnoliopsida; Brassicales; Brassicaceae
Source: RNAcentral